AAAAAUAAGCCCGGCCCGUUACGCCUGGCAGGGCAUAAUCUGAUGUCCAACCAAGCUUCAGACUUCUCCGUUGGCUCUUGCCCUAGAAGAAGCAAGUCCGCCUUCUCUCCAUCGUCGGCCGCCGCCGAACCACCUAUACCACCGCCACAGGUACUCUCUCUCCCUCUCUCUCGCUCUCUCCCUUCCUCCCUUCCCCUCUCUCCCUCUUUCUGUGAGACCCUGGGACUGGGCCCGGUCCACUUGACCGGCCCAGCCACAGGCUUCGGGCCUCACGUGCGUCGCACGUGAGGGCGCGCGAUGCAGGGGGAUUCAUCGCGAUCGCCCGAGGAAGACGGAACCCCUGGGUUUAGGGCUUCUCCUCCCUCUCCUUUGAGGCCAUCCGAGGUAGAGCCACCAAGCCCGGACUUCCUUCUGGUUUGGGGGUUCUUCCUCCUCGUUUUGCCGCCGAUAGAGAGAGAG
Molecule: long non-coding RNA, 459 nt
Filed under: Phoenix dactylifera (date palm)
Lineage: Eukaryota; Viridiplantae; Streptophyta; Magnoliopsida; Arecales; Arecaceae
Description: long non-coding RNA (PDAC_LNC015867)
Source: RNAcentral